This is a long non-coding RNA of Seriola aureovittata, 234 nucleotides long. RefSeq lists it as uncharacterized. The transcript is spliced from 3 exons. The record is from RefSeq and is a predicted model, not a curated record. NCBI's taxonomy places the organism in Eukaryota, Metazoa, Chordata, Actinopteri, Carangiformes, Carangidae.
GAAGCUUCUCUCAGCUAUGAAACUGCUGGUUCUGAUGUUGUGCUUCGUGGUAUUGUGCUCCUCCGUCCCUAUCUCUGAGGAGAAGAAACGAGUCAAACGCUCAGAUGAUAGUGAUGAGAUGAACCAGAACUACAUACAAUUUCAGUUUCAGCCAUAUCCUGUGCCCAUUCCAGUGCCAUUCCCACGGCCUUUUGUUUUCCCUUUUGUCAUCCCACCUGUCCCUUCACCAGUCAU